This 73-nucleotide transfer RNA is filed under the name Mesocricetus auratus (golden hamster). It matches the Rfam family "tRNA". Rfam says of the family: Transfer RNA (tRNA) molecules are approximately 80 nucleotides in length. Their secondary structure includes four short double-helical elements and three loops (D, anti-codon, and T loops). Lineage: Eukaryota; Metazoa; Chordata; Mammalia; Rodentia; Cricetidae. The record is from Rfam by way of RNAcentral.
GGAGAGAUGGCUCAGCAGUUAAGAGUACUGGCUGUUCUUCCAGAAUUCCUGGGUUCAAUUCCCAGUACACCCA